RNAcentral lists this ribosomal RNA (492 nucleotides) under uncultured bacterium. RNAcentral's name for it is "partial 16S ribosomal RNA". It matches the Rfam family "Bacterial small subunit ribosomal RNA", at positions 29 to 507 of the family's 1533-position model. The record is from RNAcentral.
AGUGAACGCUGGCGGUAGGCCUAACACAUGCCAGUCGAACGGCAGCACAGUAAGAGCUUGCUCUUACGGGUGGCGAGUGGCGGACGGGUGAGGAAUACAUCGGAAUCUACUUUUUCGUGGGGGAUAACGUAGGGAAACUUACGCUAAUACCGCAUACGACCUACGGGUGAAAGCAGGGGAUCUUCGGACCUUUCGCGAUUGAAUGAGCCGAUGUCGGAUUAGCUAGUUGGCGGGGUAAAGGCCCACCAAGGCGACGAUCCGUAGCUGGUCUGAGAGGAUGAUCAGCCACACUGGAACUGAGACACGGUCCAGACUCCUACGGGAGGCAGCAGUGGGGAAUAUUGGACAAUGGGCGAAAGCCUGAUCCAGCCAUACCGCGUGGGUGAAGAAGGCCUUCGGGUUGUAAAGCCCUGUUGUUGGGAAAGAAAAGCAGCAGGUUAAUACCCCGCUGUUCUGACGGUACCCAAAGAAUAAGCACCGGCUAACUUCGUG